RNAcentral lists this ribosomal RNA (467 nucleotides) under uncultured bacterium. Its description in RNAcentral is "partial 16S ribosomal RNA". It matches the Rfam family "Bacterial small subunit ribosomal RNA", at positions 28 to 506 of the family's 1533-position model. The record is from RNAcentral.
GACGAACGCUGGCGGCGUGCUUAACACAUGCAAGUCGAACGGAAAGGCCCUGCUUUUGUGGGGUGCUCGAGUGGCGAACGGGUGAGUAACACGUGAGUAACCUGCCCUUGACUUUGGGAUAACUUCAGGAAACUGGGGCUAAUACCGGAUAGGAGCUCCUGCUGCAUGGUGGGGGUUGGAAAGUUUCGGCGGUUGGGGAUGGACUCGCGGCUUAUCAGCUUGUUGGUGGGGUAGUGGCUUACCAAGGCUUUGACGGGUAGCCGGCCUGAGAGGGUGACCGGCCACAUUGGGACUGAGAUACGGCCCAGACUCCUACGGGAGGCAGCAGUGGGGAAUAUUGCACAAUGGACGGAAGCCUGAUGCAGCAACGCCGCGUGCGGGAGGACGGCCUUCGGGUUGUAAACCGCUUUCGCCUGUGACGAAGCGUGAGUGACGGUAAUGGGUAAAGAAGCACCGGCUAACUACGU